CCUACGGGAGACUGCAGUGGGGAAUAUUGCACAAUGGGGGAAACCCUGAUGCAGCGACGCCGCGUGAGUGAAGAAGUAAUUCGUUAUGUAAAGCUCUAUCAGCAGGGAAGAAAAUGACGGUACCUGAGUAAGAAGCACCGGCUAACGACGUGCCAGCAGCCGCGGUAAUACGUAGGGGGCAAGAGUUAUCCGGAGUGACUGGGUGUAAAGGGAGCGUAGACGGCAGUGCAAGUCUGGCGUGAAAGGCGGGGGCUCAAACCCCGGACUGCUCUGGAAACUGUACGGCUGGAGUGCAGGAGCGGUACGUGGAAUUCCUAGUGUAGCGGUGAAAUGCGUAGCUCUUAGGCGGACCACCAGUGGCGACGGCGGCUUACUGGACUGUAACUGACGUUGAGGCUCG
This 400-nucleotide ribosomal RNA is filed under the name uncultured bacterium. RNAcentral describes it as "partial 16S ribosomal RNA". It matches the Rfam family "Bacterial small subunit ribosomal RNA", at positions 338 to 755 of the family's 1533-position model. The record is from RNAcentral.